Molecule: ribosomal RNA, 482 nt
Filed under: uncultured bacterium
Lineage: Bacteria
Description: partial 16S ribosomal RNA
Rfam family: Bacterial small subunit ribosomal RNA
Source: RNAcentral
UAUGAACGUUGGCGGCGUGGAUUAGGCAUGCAAGUCGAACGAGAUCUGUAGCAAUACAGUGAAAGUGGCGAAAGGGAGAGUAAUACGUAGGUACCUGCCCUCGGGUCUGGGAUAGCUGCGGGAAACUGCAAUUAAUACCGGAUGAUGUCUCUGGACCAAAGGUGUGAUUCCGCCUGAGGAGCGGCCUAUGUCCUAUUAGCUAGUUGGUAAGGUAACGGCUUACCAAGGCAAAGAUGGGUAUGGGGUGUGAGAGCAUGCCCCCACUCACUGGGACUGAGACACUGCCCAGACACCUACGGGUGGCUGCAGUCGAGAAUCUUCGGCAAUGGACGCAAGUCUGACCGAGCGACGCCGCGUGCGGGAUGAAGGCCUUCGGGUUGUAAACCGCUGUCGUAGGGGAGGAAAUGCAGGUGGGUACUCCCAUCUGCUUGACUGAUCCUAGGAGGAAGGACCGGCUAAUCUCGUGCCAGCCGCCGCCGUAA